CGCUGAACUUAAGCAUAUCAUUAAGCGGAGGAAAAGAAACUAACAAGGAUUCCCCCAGUAACGGCGAGUGAAGCGGGAAGAGCUCAAACUUAAAAUCUCCACGUUUACGUGGCGAAUUGUAGUCUAUUGAGGCUGUUAUCAGCAUAGCGACCUGGGAGAAGUCCCUUGGAAAAGGGCAGCAAAGAGGGUGAUACUCCCGUCUCUGCUCAGGUUGUCUGUGUGUACGAUACGCUUUUUUUGAGUCGAGUUGUUUGGGAAUACAGCUCAAAGUAGGUGGUAAAUUCCAUCUAAAGCUAAAUAUUGGUGCGAGACCGAUAGCGAACAAGUACCGUGAGGGAAAGAUGAAAAGAACUUUGAAAAGAGAGUUAAAGAGUACCUGAAACUGUUGAAAGGGAACCGUAUCGUUUCCAGUGUUGAAUCCUAUGUAUAUUUCAUUAGCGGAGAAAUUUGCUGGUGCCCUGUGCAUAGGUGUGACGUCAGGGUCAGUUUGUAUGCUGCGGGAGAUGGUCAGUGAGGAGGUGCUUCACUUCGGUGAAAGUUAUAUCUUGCUGUCUAGUGGCCGUGGUUGAGACUGAGGUGCCUACAACAUGCUCUGGGGUUCGAUGUUGUCUCGUUUUGGUGACUGCUUGGAUAGCUUGCUAUGUCUGCGGUUUAUUGAGGCGAUUGAUGGUAUUGAUAACUUCUGCUGUUCGGGACUCUGGCGAAAUGGAGCGAUACGACCCGUCUUGAAACACGGACCAAGGAGUCUAACAUGUGUGCAAGUAUUAGGGCGUGGAAACCCAAAUGCGUAAUGAAAGUAAAUGGUGCUUAUGCAUCUGUGGUAGGAAAGGGCUGUAAUGGUCCUGGCACUAUCGACCGAUCAUGAACCUACGGGUGAAAGAUUUGAGUAUGAGCAUAUAUGUUGGUACCCGAAAGAUGGUGAACUAUGCCUGAAUAGGGUGAAGCCAGGGGAAACUCUGGUGGAAGCUCGUAGCGAUUCUGACGUGCAAAUCGAUCGUCAAAUUUGGGUAUAGGGGCGAAAGACUAAUCGAACCAUCUAGUAGCUGGUUCCCUCCGAAAUUUCCCUCAGGAUAGCAGCAACUUUUUACGAUAGUUUUAUGAGGUAAAGCGAAUGAUUAGAGGCCUCGGGGAAGAAACUUCCUCGACCUAUUCUCAAACUUUAAAUGGGUAAGACCUGUGGGUUUCUUAAUUGAACCUGUGGACGUGAAUAUCCAAGUUGCUAGUGGGCCAUACCGGGUAAGCUGGUCUGGCG
This 1252-nucleotide ribosomal RNA is filed under the name Leptolegnia sp. CBS 582.85. Its description in RNAcentral is "eukaryotic LSU rRNA". It matches the Rfam family "Eukaryotic large subunit ribosomal RNA", at positions 26 to 1155 of the family's 3401-position model. Lineage: Eukaryota; Oomycota; Saprolegniomycetes; Saprolegniales; Saprolegniaceae. The record is from RNAcentral.